UGGGGAAUAUUGGACAAUGGGCGAAAGCCUGAUCCAGCCAUGCCGCGUGAGUGACGAAGGCCUUAGGGUUGUAAAACUCUUUCGUCGGGGACGAUAAUGACGGUACCCGAAGAAGAAGCUCCGGCUAACUUCGUGCCAGCAGCCGCGGUAAUACGAAGGGAGCUAGCGUUGUUCGGAAUCACUGGGCGUAAAGCGCACGUAGGCGGAUAGUUAAGUCAGGGGUGAAAUCCUGGGGCUCAACCCCAGAACUGCCUUUGAUACUGGCUGUCUCGAGGUCGAGAGAGGUUGGUGGAAUUCCUAGUGUAGAGGUGAAAUUCGUAGAUAUUAGGAAGAACACCAGUGGCGAAGGCGGCCAACUGGCUCGAUACUGACGCUGAGGUGCGAAAGCGUGGGGAGCAAACAGGAUUAGAUACCCAUGUAGUCCCUGAGCGGGC
This 434-nucleotide ribosomal RNA is filed under the name uncultured bacterium. RNAcentral describes it as "bacterial SSU rRNA". It matches the Rfam family "Bacterial small subunit ribosomal RNA", at positions 355 to 804 of the family's 1533-position model. The record is from RNAcentral.